This 540-nucleotide long non-coding RNA is filed under the name Lathyrus oleraceus (garden pea). RNAcentral's name for it is "Pisum sativum (pea) long non-coding RNA (PSAT_LNC039034)". Lineage: Eukaryota; Viridiplantae; Streptophyta; Magnoliopsida; Fabales; Fabaceae. The record is from RNAcentral.
CCCGCCGUGGGUUUACAUCAACACAGUUUCAAGAUAUUGCCAAUGUUUUGCUUGCACACCCGAAGGUUGGUUUAUUUAUGGAUGCAGCUUUUGGAUCAGUUCGCGUGGUUGUUAGUUAUCUUGAGAUUACAUUGAUAGCUUGCUACAAAGAUUUUUCCAUGGAAUCCAAUCUUUCAUCUGGACCAGUAGUAUAUUUUCUCCGCCAGCAAUGUGAGGCUUCUCUACCGUUUAUUCGGUCAUUGUGCCAGCAUGUUCUGCACACACAGCUGCACCCAAAAAGAAGUUGAGCGUGCUCGUAGAAGCCACUUGGGAUUAAUUGUCCAUGUCCCUGCACAGAAUGAAAGUAUAAGUAGUUUUGUGAGCAAGAUGAAUUUUGUGGAUAUAGCAGGUUAUGGAGAUGCUAGAAGGAAAAACGAUGAAAGUCGAGUUCUCUUUCGGGAAAGUAAACUCACACGCAUGUUGCAGGACUCUUUGAGGGGAACUAGCAAAGUAAAGGAAAAACGAUGAAAGUCGAGUUCUCUUUCGGGAAAGUAAACUCAC